RNAcentral lists this ribosomal RNA (429 nucleotides) under Acidobacteriota bacterium. RNAcentral's name for it is "Acidobacteria bacterium partial 16S ribosomal RNA". It matches the Rfam family "Bacterial small subunit ribosomal RNA", at positions 355 to 776 of the family's 1533-position model. The record is from RNAcentral. Lineage: Bacteria; Pseudomonadati; Acidobacteriota.
UGGGGAAUUUUGGACAAUGGGGGAAACCCUGAUCAAGCCAUCCCGCGUGUGCGAUGAAGGCCUCCGGGUUGUAAUGCACUUUUGGCAGGAAAGAAACGUCAUGGGUUAAUACCCCGUGAAACUGACGGUACCUGCAGAAUAAGCACCGGCUAACUACGUGCCAGCAGCCGCGGUAAUACGUAGGGUGCAAGCGUUAAUCGGAAUUACUGGGCGGAAAGCGGGCGCAGGCGGUUCGGAAAGAAAGAUGUGAAAUCCUAGAGCUCAACGUUGGAACUGCAGUUUUAGCUACCGGGCUAGAGUGUGUCAGAGGGAGGUGGAAUUCCGCGUGUAGCAGUGAAAUGCGUAAAUAUGCGGAGGACCACCGAUGGCGGAGACAGCCUCCUGGGAUAACACUGACGCUCAUGGACGGAGGCGUGGGGAGCAAACAGU